AGUGGAGCGACGAACCGGGCUUCGGCCCGGGGCAAAGCCGCGAACGGGUGAGUAACACGUGGGUAACAUGCCCCGAUGAUUGGGACAACCCGAGGAAACUCGGGCUAAUACCAAAUGUGCCCUUCGGCCAUAAGGCUGACGGGGAAAGGAAGCUUCGGCCUCCGCAUCGGGAUUGGCCCGCGGCCCAUUAGCUAGUUGGUGAGGUAAAGGCUUACCAAGGCGACGAUGGGUAGCUGGUCUGAGAGGACGAUCAGCCACACUGGGACUGAGACACGGCCCAGACUCCUACGGGAGGCAGCAGUGGGGAAUCUUGCACAAUGCGCGAAAGCGUGAUGCAGCAACGCCGCGUGGGAGAAGAAGGCCUUCGGGUUGUAAAUCCCUUUCAGUUGGGACGAAGCUUCGUCGGUUAAUAGCCGGCUGGAGUGACGGUACCUUCAGAAGAAGCCCCGGCUAACUACGUGCCAGCAGCCGCGGUAAUACGUAGGGGGCUAGCGUUGUCCGGAAUCAUUGGGCGUAAAGCGCGUGUAGGCGGCUCAACAAGUCUGCUGUGAAAGUCCAGGGCUCAACCCUGGAAUGCCGGUGGAAACUGUUGGGCUAGAGUCCGGAAGGGGCGAGUGGAAUUCCUGGUGUAGCGGUGAAAUGCGCAGAUAUCAGGAGGAACACCAAUGGCGAAGGCAGCUCGCUGGGACGGUACUGACGCUGAGACGCGA
RNAcentral lists this ribosomal RNA (710 nucleotides) under uncultured Actinomycetes bacterium. Its description in RNAcentral is "bacterial SSU rRNA". It matches the Rfam family "Bacterial small subunit ribosomal RNA", at positions 60 to 756 of the family's 1533-position model. The record is from RNAcentral. Lineage: Bacteria; Bacillati; Actinomycetota; Actinomycetes.